Molecule: unclassified non-coding RNA, 466 nt
Filed under: Hevea brasiliensis (rubber tree)
Lineage: Eukaryota; Viridiplantae; Streptophyta; Magnoliopsida; Malpighiales; Euphorbiaceae
Source: RNAcentral
GCAAAACUUUGAUAACAUAAUAACACAGAAAUAAACAGUAUCAAUCUAAUAUCCAAAAGAUACAAGUACCCCAUGCUUUGGCAAAUUGGACUUUUUUUUUUAUUUAUUUAAAUCCCACCUAUUACAUGUCAGUAUCAAUCGUGCCCUGAAGGCGAGAUGUAAGUGUGAAGCUGAGACUAACCCUCAUAAUUUCUCAAACGAAAUCCCACAUAAUUCCCACGAUGUUAAUUAGGGAAAUGCAUUAGUCAGAGGCUGCAAAGCUUCAGUCUUUCAAUAGCUAAACGCAAAUAACUAUUACGCUCUUAUUGGCCAAUGCACAUUCAAAUUUUUCACUAUUAUUCAAAUGAAAUUUCCAUAAACUAGUACAUAAAAUUAACAGAUUUCAAAACAUAUAAUUACAUUCUAAAUUGAAAAUGUGUGAAAAUAAAUAAAUAAUACUAACCAUCUUGAGGGUUGCUAUAGUUAA